AUGCUUACUUCAGUAGCACAUAUAUUAAAAUUGGAAUAGUACAGAGAAGAUUAUCAUGGUCCCUCUGCAAGAAUGUACAUAAAUUUGUGAAGUAUUCCAUAUUUUU
Fukomys damarensis (Damara mole-rat) is the source of this 106-nucleotide small nuclear RNA. The record is from Ensembl. Lineage: Eukaryota; Metazoa; Chordata; Mammalia; Rodentia; Bathyergidae.